Molecule: ribosomal RNA, 565 nt
Filed under: uncultured bacterium
Lineage: Bacteria
Description: bacterial SSU rRNA
Rfam family: Bacterial small subunit ribosomal RNA
Source: RNAcentral
CCUACGGGAGGCAGCAGUGGGGAAUCUUGCGCAAUGGGCGAAAGCCUGACGCAGCAACGCCGCGUGCGGGAAGAAGGCCUUAGGGUUGUAAACCGCUUUCAGUAGGAACGAAAAUGACGGUACCUGCAGAAGAAGGUGCGGCCAACUACGUGCCAGCAGCCGCGGUGACACGUAGGCACCAAGCGUUGUCCGGAUUUAUUGGGCGUAAAGAGCUCGUAGGCGGUUCAGUAAGUCGGGUGUGAAAACUCUGGGCUUAACCCAGAGCCGCCACUCGAUACUGCUGUGACUUGAGUUCGGUAGGGGAGCAGGGAAUUCCUAGUGUAGCGGUGAAAUGCGCAGAUAUUAGGAGGAACACCGGUGGCGAAGGCGCUGCUCUGGGCCGAUACUGACGCUGAGGAGCGAAAGCGUGGGUAGCAAACAGGAUUAGAUACCCUGGUAGUCCACGCCGUAAACGUUGGGCACUAGGUGUGGGUUCCAACCAACGGAAUCCGCGCCGUCGCUAACGCAUUAAGUGCCCCGCCUCGGGGAGUACGGCGGCAACGCUAAAACUCAAAGGAAUUGACGG